Molecule: ribosomal RNA, 468 nt
Filed under: uncultured Rhodocyclaceae bacterium
Lineage: Bacteria; Pseudomonadati; Pseudomonadota; Betaproteobacteria; Rhodocyclales; Rhodocyclaceae
Description: bacterial SSU rRNA
Rfam family: Bacterial small subunit ribosomal RNA
Source: RNAcentral
ACCCUACGGGGGGCAGCAGUGGGGAAUUUUGGACAAUGGGGGCAACCCUGAUCCAGCCAUUCCGCGUGAGUGAAGAAGGCCUUCGGGUUGUAAAGCUCUUUCGGCAGGAACGAAACGGCGAGCUCUAACAUAGCUUGCUAAUGACGGUACCUGAAGAAGAAGCACCGGCUAACUACGUGCCAGCAGCCGCGGUAAUACGUAGGGUGCGAGCGUUAAUCGGAAUUACUGGGCGUAAAGCGUGCGCAGGCGGGUGGGGAAGACAGAUGUGAAAGCCCCGGGCUCAACCUGGGAACGGCAUUUGUGACUGCAUCGCUGGAGUGCGGCAGAGGGGGAUGGAAUUCCGCGUGUAGCAGUGAAAUGCGUAGAUAUGCGGAGGAACACCGAUGGCGAAGGCAAUCCCCUGGGCCUGCACUGACGCUCAUGCACGAAAGCGUGGGGAGCAAACAGGAUUAGAUACCCUAGUAGUCC